Molecule: ribosomal RNA, 253 nt
Filed under: uncultured microorganism
Description: partial 16S ribosomal RNA
Rfam family: Bacterial small subunit ribosomal RNA
Source: RNAcentral
AACGUAGGGGGCGAGCGUUGUCCGGAAUUACUGGGCGUAAAGCGUGCGCAGGCGGCCCGUUAAGACAGGUGUGAAAUCCCUGGGCUCAACCUAGGAAUUGCGCUUGUGACUGGCGGGCUCGAGUACGGUAGAGGGGGGUGGAAUUCCUGGUGUAGCAGUGAAAUGCGUAGAGAUCAGGAGGAACACCGAUGGCGAAGGCAGCCCCCUGGGCCUGUACUGACGCUCAUGCACGAAAGCGUGGGGAGCAAACAGG